Molecule: non-coding RNA, 207 nt
Organism: Pelobates cultripes (western spadefoot toad)
Lineage: Eukaryota; Metazoa; Chordata; Amphibia; Anura; Pelobatidae
Source: the annotation of a GenBank genome assembly
CCUUGUGUUACUUUUAUAGCAGUAGCUGUAGCAAGAUUGUUAAUAUUGACAGUUAAAACUGGGCUUCAAAAUUAACUCACUAUAGUUGCAGGCAUCACAGUGCACCUUGUUACUAAGUUUUUGUUCCAAUUAGAAAACACAUUAGUGUUAUACACUUUUCUGGGAAAUGAGACGUCAUCAUAAAAUUUUAGGUUUUGACAAUUCUAC